UUUAUUUAUUUAUUUAUUUUUGCUUCUGUUUGAUCGUUGUCAUGAAUAUUCAGCUUCCGGACUUUUUGUUUUUCUUGUUUAAGGUAAUGGUUUUGUUAGACUGUAUGAAUUAUAGGAGCCAUAGAUAGUAUGAUUGUUUAUCAGUUUUAAUCAUUCAAGCAUCAAAGUUCAAUUUUCUUGCAGGCGUAAUUUUUUAUAUUUUAAAAAGAGAAAAUUGAUGCAUUGGGUCUAAUUGUGUUGGAUUUGAAGGGAGAAAAAACUAAGAACGUAUUUAUGCUUGAACGAGGAGA
This 290-nucleotide unclassified non-coding RNA is filed under the name Hevea brasiliensis (rubber tree). The record is from RNAcentral. Lineage: Eukaryota; Viridiplantae; Streptophyta; Magnoliopsida; Malpighiales; Euphorbiaceae.